GCGGGCGUGGCGGAAUUGGCAAACGCGCUGGGUUUAGGUCCCAGUGGGGCGGAAGUCCCUUACAGGUUCAAGUCCUGUCGCCCGCA
Molecule: transfer RNA, 86 nt
Filed under: Actinomycetes bacterium
Lineage: Bacteria; Bacillati; Actinomycetota; Actinomycetes
Also listed under: 1 other name
Description: Actinobacteria bacterium tRNA-Leu
Rfam family: tRNA
About the family: Transfer RNA (tRNA) molecules are approximately 80 nucleotides in length. Their secondary structure includes four short double-helical elements and three loops (D, anti-codon, and T loops).
Source: RNAcentral